GACGAACGCUGGCGGCGUGCUUAACACAUGCAAGUCGAACGGUGAAGCGCCUUCCUUUUUGGUGGGUGUGGAUGAGUGGCGAACGGGUGAGUAACACGUGAGUAACCUGCCCCCUUCUUCUGGAUAACCGCAUGAAAGUGUGGCUAAUACGGGAUAUUCUGGGUCUGUCGCAUGAUGGGUCUGGGACAGAUAUUGUUUCGGUGGGGGAUGGGCUCGCGGCCUAUCAGCUUGUUGGUGGGGUGAUGGCCUACCAAGGCGGUGACGGGUAGCCGGCCUGAGAGGGUGGACGGUCACACUGGGACUGAGACACGGCCCAGACUCCUACGGGCGGCAGCAGUGGGGAAUAUUGCACAAUGGGCGCAAGCCUGAUGCAGCGACGCCGCGUGAGGGAUGGAGGCCUUCGGGUUGUGAACCUCUUUCGCCAGUGAAGCAGGCCUGCCUCGUUUGUGGGUGGGUUGACGGUAGCUGGAUAAGAAGCGCCGGCUAACUACGUG
This 494-nucleotide ribosomal RNA is filed under the name uncultured bacterium. RNAcentral's name for it is "partial 16S ribosomal RNA". It matches the Rfam family "Bacterial small subunit ribosomal RNA", at positions 28 to 507 of the family's 1533-position model. The record is from RNAcentral.